Nothoprocta perdicaria is the source of this 324-nucleotide long non-coding RNA. RefSeq lists it as uncharacterized. NCBI's taxonomy places the organism in Eukaryota, Metazoa, Chordata, Aves, Tinamiformes, Tinamidae. The record is from RefSeq and is a predicted model, not a curated record. The transcript has 2 exons.
UUUGACAAAGAAUUGCUGAACUGCUGAAAAUUGCCUUUGGACAAGACAAGGAUGGAGAAUGCAGCGCAGACUGUGUGCAGCAUGUACAGACAGAGGAGACCGGUUUCCAGAGAAUAUCGUCCUUGAAGAACAGAAGCCAAGACACUGAAAGGAGAGAAGGACUUAGAAGUAAAAGCAAAGGGCUGUAGAUGAGCAGAAGGAAGUUCUACCAUUUCUACCAGAGUACCUACUUGUUAUUCUUCCUGUGCCAAUUCAUUGAACAUUCCUGCUUCAGUUCAUCUACCAGUAAUAGUUACCUGCUUCACAAAACAUUGUGAACUUUAU